CUAAAGGCUGUGAAUAGAAGAGUAGAUGCGGUAGCUAUUUACAGAGAACUGCGGCAGCUGAGAAGCGGUAAUAGCUAAAGUAUUGAAGAUGGUCUAGGAGCUGUAUAGCUGAAAGAAAGUAGGCUAUACCGGUUAGCAGAGCCGUUAUCUCUGUUUUAAAGCGGCCGCUUUUAUAGUUUAGAAGCGGCAAGUAGGGUGGUACCGCGAUAGUAAUGAUCUUGAAUCUCUCGUCCCUGUU
This 238-nucleotide non-coding RNA is filed under the name Acetohalobium arabaticum. RNAcentral describes it as "T-box sequence". It matches the Rfam family "T-box leader". From Rfam's summary of the family: Uncharged tRNA acts as the effector for transcription antitermination of genes in the T-box leader family. T-boxes are found upstream of many aminoacyl-tRNA synthetase genes and some amino acid biosynthetic genes usually in Gram-positive bacteria. Lineage: Bacteria; Bacillati; Bacillota; Clostridia; Halanaerobiales; Halobacteroidaceae. The record is from RNAcentral.